RNAcentral lists this ribosomal RNA (253 nucleotides) under uncultured bacterium. RNAcentral's name for it is "partial 16S ribosomal RNA". It matches the Rfam family "Bacterial small subunit ribosomal RNA", at positions 524 to 776 of the family's 1533-position model. The record is from RNAcentral.
UACAGAGGGGGCAAGCGUUAUUCGGAAUUAUUGGGCGUAAAGGGCGCGUAGGCGGCCUGGCAAGUGGAUGGUGAAAUCCCUCGGCUUAACCGAGGAACUGCCGUCCAAACUGCUUGGCUUGAGACCGGGAGAGGUGAGUGGAAUUCCCAGUGUAGCGGUGAAAUGCGUAGAUAUCUGGAGGAACACCGGUGGCGAAGGCGGCAUCCUGGACCAUUACUGACACUGAAAAGCGAAAGCCAGGGGAGCAAACGGG